UCCCCGAAACUGUUAAACCUGAUGAAGCUAAACAGCUUAGAGACGAGGUACGUGGGAUGUUUUAUCAUGCUUUUGAUGGAUAUAUGAACAAUGCUUUUCCACUUGAUGAAUUGAGACCGUUAUCUUGCCAAGGUGAAGAUACACUUGGAGGCUAUGCGUUGACCUUGGUGUGGUCCUUGCAAAGUGAUUGCUCCCAAAUACAAAGAGCUAUCUAAGAAGUAUCAGGAUAUGGUGUUUCUUAAGCUUGACUUCAACCAAGACAACAAGGUAUCUAAUUCAAGGAAAGGUUUAACUGUCAUUGCACAUCUUGACAUGUGAAGUCCAGUUUUGGUCUGUCUUGAGUCAAAAACUUGUUUUGGCUUUAUUAGAACAUCGUUCACACACAAUACGUCAUACACCACAUUGGUUGGGCUUUGGACUUAAAAGAAAAAGUUAUGUGUUCAGAUUUUUACAGUUGGAACAAA
Molecule: long non-coding RNA, 464 nt
Organism: Camelina sativa (false flax)
Lineage: Eukaryota; Viridiplantae; Streptophyta; Magnoliopsida; Brassicales; Brassicaceae
Source: RefSeq, a predicted model, not a curated record